Molecule: RNA transcript, 1065 nt
Organism: Brassica napus (rape)
Lineage: Eukaryota; Viridiplantae; Streptophyta; Magnoliopsida; Brassicales; Brassicaceae
Exons: 2
Source: RefSeq, a predicted model, not a curated record
ACCAAUUUAGAAUUGAAAACAAAAUGUUUAUAUAAAAAUAAAUAGAAACAAAAAUCCGCGCGGUUGCGCGGAUCAAGAUUUAGUUCUCAUCUUUACAAUAUAUUAAAAUCCAAAAAAAUUACCCUAUAUCUAUUAUCUAGCCGUUGGUAAAUAUUUUAUCAUAAUAUUUCCACUAAUUAAAUAACUAUAAGUACCCAGACAAGAUAAAAGAAGAAACAGUGAAACUAUAUUAAAAUCUAGCCGUGUUCUCUCUCUAACAACAAAACACUCUAAUUUUUCUCUAAAAUUUGAAAACCCUAGCUCCGGCCGGUUAUUAUGGUGCCUGAGGCGUUUUUCCUCCACCCCUCUCCUCUUUUACUCUUUGCUUCCUUUUUCCAUGUCCAACCUUUGCUGAUAUACUUGUUUCUCUGCGGUUGAUGGAACCUCUCCAACAGCUCGGCUCGAGCAUCAGUGGGGUCAGUUCCGGCGUCUUUUGGAGAAGCGGUGAGGCCUUGGGAAGCUGGCGAAGGAGGAAGUCAGCUUUGAGGGUUUCAGAGGAGCCAUAUCUAGUUUUCUUUUUUAGAUCUACGGUGAUUCCGGCUUCGCUACGACGCAUGAAGUGCAGAGACGUCUUCUCAAGCUUGGAUCUUCGUUCCCUCAGAGGCGGUGAGACAACCGGAGAAGAUUUGGUCGGACUGUGGACAGGAGUUAUGUCUCCCGGUUCUCGGGGAAAUCAUAUAUCAAGGUCAGCGCCGAGGGAGUUGUCAACCGGAGGUACUCGCCUAUUGACGGUACGUGGCGGAGCUGCUACAUCCCAGCAUCGGAGGAGGUCGGUUUGUGUUCUCAUGCGAUCUCUGUGUCCCGUUUAUGGCUGAGGACCGAACAUUGAACAACUGGGGUAUGCGGUUAUCUCGAGAAUGCGCUUUUGGUGAAGAUGCAUUUGGUCACAAGCAUCAUGACUAUCUUUUGGUACCACUUGCUUGUUUAAGAACUGUAUUAUCGGAUUUAAUCAUGUAUUCUUUGUUUUAGUAGAUGUUGUAGGAGUUUCAAGAGAUGGAUCACUUCGAAUCUUGGGAUGAUUUCAUU